This 366-nucleotide ribosomal RNA is filed under the name uncultured bacterium. RNAcentral describes it as "bacterial SSU rRNA". It matches the Rfam family "Bacterial small subunit ribosomal RNA", at positions 8 to 352 of the family's 1533-position model. The record is from RNAcentral.
AGAGUUUGAUCAUGGCUCAGAUUGAACGCUGGCGGCAGGCCUAAUACAUGCAAGUCGAGCGCAGGAAACUGACGGAACUCUUCGGAGGGAAGGCAGCGGAAUGAGCGGCGGACGGGUGAGUAACACGUAAGGAACCUGCCUCAAGGAUUGGGAUAACUCCGAGAAAUCGGAGCUAAUACCGGAUAGUUCAACGGACCGCAUGGUCCGCUGAUGAAAGGCGCUCCGGCGUCACCUUGAGAUGGCCUUGCGGUGCAUUAGCUAGUUGGUGGGGUAACGGCCCACCAAGGCGACGAUGCAUAGCCGACCUGAGAGGGUGAUCGGCCACACUGGGACUGAGACACGGCCCAGACUCCUACGGGAGGCAGC